CUUGACCGAGCCGAGCAGCAGCGGCCGGUGCCGGUCGCGCCCGUAGGUGGCGAGCAGCGCGUGUGCCUC
This 69-nucleotide antisense RNA is filed under the name Streptomyces sp. NRRL F-4711. RNAcentral describes it as "ASpks sRNA". It matches the Rfam family "ASpks TB sRNA". The record is from RNAcentral. Lineage: Bacteria; Bacillati; Actinomycetota; Actinomycetes; Kitasatosporales; Streptomycetaceae. RNAcentral also lists the same sequence under 1 other name.